RNAcentral lists this ribosomal RNA (544 nucleotides) under uncultured bacterium. Its description in RNAcentral is "partial 16S ribosomal RNA". It matches the Rfam family "Bacterial small subunit ribosomal RNA", at positions 355 to 914 of the family's 1533-position model. The record is from RNAcentral.
UGGGGAAUAUUGCACAAUGGGCGAAAGCCUGAUGCAGCAACGCCGCGUGAGUGAUGAAGGUCUUCGGAUUGUAAAGCUCUGUCUUUUGGGACGAUAAUGACGGUACCAAAGGAGGAAGCCACGGCUAACUACGUGCCAGCAGCCGCGGUAAUACGUAGGUGGCGAGCGUUGUCCGGAUUUACUGGGCGUAAAGGGUGCGUAGGCGGAUGUUUAAGUGAGAUGUGAAAUACCCGGGCUUAACUUGGGUGCUGCAUUUCAAACUGGAUAUCUAGAGUGCAGGAGAGGAGAAUGGAAUUCCUAGUGUAGCGGUGAAAUGCGUAGAGAUUAGGAGAACACCAGUGGCGAAGGCGAUUCUCUGGACUGUAACUGACGCUGAGGCACGAAAGCGUGGGUAGCAAACAGGAUUAGAUACCCUGGUAGUCCACGCCGUAAACGAUGAGUACUAGGUGUAGGAGGUAUCGACCCCUUCUGUGCCGCAGUAAACACAUUAAGUACUCCGCCUGGGAAGUACGAUCGCAAGAUUAAAACUCUAAAGUGAAUUGAC